CCUACGGGAGGCUGCAGUGAGGAAUAUUGGUCAAUGGACGAGAGUCUGAACCAGCCAAGUAGCGUGAAGGAUGACUGCCCUAUGGGUUGUAAACUUCUUUUAUAUGGGAAUAAAGUGUUCCACGUGUGGGAUUUUGUAUGUACUUUAUGAAUAAGGAUCGGCUAACUCCGUGCCAGCAGCCGCGGUAAUACGGAGGAUCCGAGCGUUAUCCGGAUUUAUUGGGUUUAAAGGGAGCGUAGGUGGGUUGUUAAGUCAGUUGUGAAAGUUUGCGGCUCAACCGUAAAAUUGCAGUUGAAACUGGCAGUCGUGAGUACAGUAGAGGUAGGCGGAAUUCGUGGUGUAGCGGUGAAAUGCUUAGAUAUCACGAAGAACUCCGAUUGCGAAGGCAGCUCACUGGACUGCAACUGACACUGAGGCUCGAAAGUGUGGGUAUCAAACAGGAUUAGAUACCCGGGUAGUC
RNAcentral lists this ribosomal RNA (460 nucleotides) under uncultured bacterium. RNAcentral's name for it is "partial 16S ribosomal RNA". It matches the Rfam family "Bacterial small subunit ribosomal RNA", at positions 338 to 795 of the family's 1533-position model. The record is from RNAcentral.